CCUACGGGGGGCAGCAGUAGGGAAUAUUGCACAAUGGGGGAAACCCUGAUGCAGCAACGCCGCGUGAGCGAUGAAGGCCUUCGGGUCGUAAAGCUCUGUCCUAAGGGAAGAAUACUGACGGUACCUUAGGAGGAAGCCCCGGCUAACUACGGACCAGCAGCCGCGGUAAUACGUAGGGGGCUAGCGUUAUCCGGAAUUACUGGGCGUAAAGGGUGCGUAGGCGGCGCUUCAAGUAAGAGGUGAAAGGUUAAGUCUCAACCGCAGUAAUCCUUUGAAACUUUAGGGCUUGAGUGCAGGAGCGGAGAGUGGCAUUCCCAGUGUGGCGGUGAAAUGCGUAGAUAUUGGGAGGAACACCAGUUGCGAAGGCGGCUCUCUGGACUGUAGCUGCCGCUGAGGCACGAAAGCGUGGGGAGCGAACAGGAUUAGAUACCCUUGUAGUC
This 440-nucleotide ribosomal RNA is filed under the name uncultured bacterium. RNAcentral's name for it is "bacterial SSU rRNA". It matches the Rfam family "Bacterial small subunit ribosomal RNA", at positions 338 to 795 of the family's 1533-position model. The record is from RNAcentral.